This 257-nucleotide ribosomal RNA is filed under the name uncultured bacterium. RNAcentral's name for it is "partial small subunit ribosomal RNA". It matches the Rfam family "Bacterial small subunit ribosomal RNA", at positions 26 to 285 of the family's 1533-position model. The record is from RNAcentral.
AGGACGAACGCUGGCGGCGUGCUUAACACAUGCAAGUCGAACGGAAAGGCCCGCUUGCGGGUACUCGAGUGGCGAACGGGUGAGUAACACGUGGGCAACCUGCCCUCAGCUUCGGGAUAACACUUGGAAACAGGUGCUAAUACCGGAUAAUAACCUUUCAUCGCAUGGUGGUUGGUUCAAAGUUUUUCGGCUGAGGAUGGGCCCGCGGCCUAUCAGCUUGUUGGUGGGGUAAUGGCCUACAAAGGCGACGACGGGUA